Molecule: non-coding RNA, 1277 nt
Organism: Rattus norvegicus (Norway rat)
Lineage: Eukaryota; Metazoa; Chordata; Mammalia; Rodentia; Muridae
Source: RefSeq, a predicted model, not a curated record
AACCCUUACCAUUCCGGUUUGCAGUGGGGCCUCCAUUGAUUGUUUCGGACUAGGGAGCAGGUCUGGUAGCCUGCAGUCCUGGAAAUCGAGGAGCAGAAGGGACCAGAAGAAGAUGUCAAUCAAACCUACCCAGCCCUGACCACAAGCUCUUCCCCUAUCUCGUCUCAAAAGCCACGCCCCCUAGAUACCUUUGGCAGGAGUGACUCCAUCCGCCGGGGUUGGGGUGAGAGCGUCUAGAGGGGGUACUGCUAGACAGAAGGAUAGGGGCAAAUUGACCACCCAGCCUAGAUCAAGGGGUGAGACCGGCCCCAGUUCCUUGAUCUACUUCACUUACACAUAAGGCCGACCAGACUCCCCAGCGCCUGCACCCAGUGGCCAAAGGGUAGCGGUCCUGCCACCCACAGUUAGCAGCUCGCUGCAGGUGCCCUUAAGCCAUGUUCUCUUCUGGCAGUGGCUCCUUCCUUAGCCCGGCCUUCCAUAAGUCUGACUACUCUUGAUACCCUCAGGCGAGACCCCCUCCUACACCCCGUAAAGACUCUCUGUCCCACUCCAGGAGAAACCAGGACCUGUAAGCCAGGAGGCUGAGGCGACCAUUGGACUUCGGGCUCCUGACCCAAGCCUGCCCCAUCAAGGAAGCUGGGGCGUAGAGGAGCACUUCUGUGGGAUCUAUUGAAAAGGGGGCUCUAGGGCAAUCGGUGUAAGGUCGAAUCUGGCUAGCGAUGCGGAAACACCGGGACCAGGAACUUAGGGAUGGGGGUGGGGUAGUAUUGGAGCAUCAAAAAGUCGGGACCUACCCGGAAUCAGGACAAAUCGAUCAGGGGCAAAGCCGAAGCUUGCUAAUGGUCCUCGAAGGAACACCUUUGCUCCAUCAAUGGAAACUCGGACCACUCAGGAGCUGCAACCAGGUCCACCCAGCGUCGGCCAACACCCCUAGUUUUCUGUCCGCCGCCUCGGACGCGGCACCUUUAAAUUAUUCUGCUGCAGGGCACGCCCCAUCCCCGCCUCCCGCCAUGGUUGGAAGGUCGCACUGCGCCAGCCAUGCCUAGUGUGGCGGCCUCUUAAAGGAGCUGACAAUUUAUGAAAGGGCUGCCUCACCAGUUACAAAUUAGACCACCGCAUUUAUGUUCCCUUUUAUUUAACAGCCACCCUCCAUGCCCUCCCUUCCCCAGUGUCCGAUUCGAUCUGCCCAAGCCCUCACAAGGCCUGUCAGAAGCAGAUCUUUUAAAGCGAAUUCUAAAAAUAAAUAAGCUGGGGUCCCAGCAGUACAUGGGGAUAAA